GUGAAGGAAUCUACAGUAGCUCUGAAGGUAUCUACAGUAGCUCUGAAGGUAUCUACAGUAGCUCUGAAGGUAUCUACAGUAGCUAUGAAGGUAUCUACAGUAACUAUGAAUGUAUGAAGGUAUCUACAGUAGCUAUGAUGGUAUCUACAGUAGCUAUGAAGGUAUUUACAGUAGUUUUGAAGGUAUCUACAGUAACUAUGAAGGCAUCUACCGUAACUAUGAAGGUAUCUACAGUAGCUCUGACGGUAACUACAGUAACUAUGAAGGCAUCUACGGUAACUAUGAAGGUAUCUACAGUAGCUCUGACGGUAACUACAGUAACUAUGAAGGCAUCUACGGUAACUAUGAAGGUAUCUAUGGUAGCUAUAAAGGUACCUACAGUAGCUUCGUCCUCCCAAAUUUAACCUUGAUUCAUCUCUUUAAAGUCUAAUGAUUUUUCUUUUGUAUUAAUAUGGGAUAUAUUUAAAUAUUUAACAACAUGAUUAUUUAUUUCUGCGUGUAUUUAUUUACAAAUACAUUUAUAUUUCUAAAGUAGUUACAGUGCAACUUCUGCACACAGCACUUUUUAUCAUGAGUUUCACUAAAGUUUUGAUAACAUGACCUAUGACCUCUACCCCCUACCCCUUCUUACUGUGGUCAGUUUGUGAAUAGUGUUAACCCCCCAAAAAAAAAAAAAAAAACAACUAAACAAAUUGAUACAGGGUCAUCUUCUAUGUGCUAUAGUAUAGCAGCUACAUGUUAUUUGCAUGAAACCAUCAACAUCACAUACAUAGAUUUUGAAGUGUUGUACCUGAGCUAUUUGCAACCCGAUUUCACCCACGAUACAAUAUUUUCGAAGCUCGAGAGAUUGUGAACAUAAUGGAAAUGAAUUAUACUUCAAAGCUGGGAGAUGGGAAACAGAUGGGUGCGUGGACAGAACGAUCCCGAUCCCUUUACAUAGUGAAUAGAAUGAGGGAAACUGAAAACAAAGCUGUUUGUAGCGGAUAAGACAAGAAACGAGGUUUCUGAACAAGGAUUUGUACAUAUGAUGCAGUGCCUCUCUUUUCAAACGGUAUAUCUGCAGUCCCUCAGUUGCUUUGGAUCUACUUCAUCAUGUCCCAAAUGAUUCCAUAUUCCCUGUGUAGUGCACUACUUUUGACCAGCGUCCUAUGGGCUCUUGUUAAAAGUAGUGCACCUACAUAGGGACUAGGGUUCUAUUUUGUGACUCUGUCUUCAUCACGUGGCUGUUUUUGUCUAGCUAAUCGUCAUCUAUUUAUGUACACAGUAGGCUAAUAUACAGUGAGCUGCAAAACUAUUGGUACAGUGGACAUUUUGUUGGCUUCUGUUGUUGUUGUUGUUUAAGUUCUGUACUCCAGCACUUUGGAGUUGAAAUCAUAAAGUUCAUUUAUCCCAAUACUUUUGGUCCCCUAAAACGGAGGGACUAUGAACAAACAAAAAAAGUGCUGUAAUUUCUAAACUUUUCGCCCGAUAUGGAUGAAAAUACCCUCAUAUUAAAGCUGACAGUCCUGCACUUUGACCUCCUAGUCAUUGUAUCAUUUCACAUCCAAAGUGCUGGGAGUACAGAGCCAAAAAAACAACAAAACAAUUGUCGGAGAUCGAUAUGAGCGUAUAUGCACUUAAAGACAAUGAAUAUGAAUUUUCAUAUACCGUACACCUUUUUAUAACAUAUUAGCGAGUGAUAGUAUAUAGGAAGAUCCAUUUCUAUAGAAAUAUUCUACUGAUAUUUCAUUGUAGACAUUUUCUGUAUAAUAACCCGAUUGAAUCCAGCAAAUUACAUGGCGCUCACGUUCUCUUCAAUUGCUUCUUUUUUAGUUAAUCUCAUGUGAAGUUUAAUUAUUUUAGUUUUUUAGUCGCUGUUUGUUUUCCGUUCAACAGCACUCAUUGUGUACACGAUGGAUGUAUGCAUCAGUAUUGCAGCUACUGUACGUGAAUGAAUCGUGAUGAAUUGUAAAUGUAUGGGCUGUUUGUUUUGUAUCGAGCAAACAUUAGUCAUCGUAGUGGGUCCAGUCCAGACGACAGGGAAGCAGAAUGAUGACUGAGGAGCCUUUUUUGUGUUUUUUUUUUUUUACAAGUUGGUCAUCAGUUGUAUUGUGUAUUUACUAUGCUAUUACCCUGCUAUAUGUUUCACUCACAGUUGGAAGAGAACAGGACAGCUGUCAGUAUGUCCAGUAGUCACUACUCACAGUAGGAAGAGUACAGGACAGCUGUCAGUAUGCCCAGUAGUCACUACUCACAGUAGGAAGAGUACAGGACAGCUGUCAGUAUGCCCAGUAGUCACUACUCACAGUUGGAAGAGAACAGGACAGCUGUCAGUAUGUCCAGUAGUCACUACUCACAGUAGGAAGAGAACAGGACAGCUGUCAGUAUGCCCAGUAGU
Oncorhynchus tshawytscha (Chinook salmon) is the source of this 2377-nucleotide long non-coding RNA. Lineage: Eukaryota; Metazoa; Chordata; Actinopteri; Salmoniformes; Salmonidae. The record is from Ensembl.